UUAAGCAUAUCAAUAAGCGGAGGAAAAGAAACCAACUGGGAUUGCCCUAGUAACGGCGAGUGAAGCGGCAAUAGCUCAAAUUUGAAAUCUGGCUCCUUUUAGGGGUCCGAGUUGUAAUUUGCAGAGGGUGCUUUGGUGUUGGUGGCGGUCUAAGUUCCUUGGAACAGGACAUCGCAGAGGGUGAGAAUCCCGUUUGUGGUCGCCUACCUUCGCCGUGUAAAGCCCCUUCGACGAGUCGAGUUGUUUGGGAAUGCAGCUCUAAAUGGGAGGUAAAUUUCUUCUAAAGCUAAAUACUGGCCAGAGACCGAUAGCGCACAAGUAGAGUGAUCGAAAGAUGAAAAGCACUUUGGAAAGAGAGUCAAACAGCACGUGAAAUUGUUGAAAGGGAAGCGCUUGCAGCCAGACUUGCCCGUAGUUGCUCACCUAGGCUUUUGCCUGGGGCAUUCUUCUGCGGGCAGGCCAGCAUCAGUUUGGGCGGUCGGAUAAAGGCCUCUGUCACGUACCUUCCUUCGGGAAGGACUUAUAGGGGAGGCGAAAUGCGACCAGCCUGGACUGAGGUCCGCGCUUCGGCUAGGAUGCUGGCGUAAUGGCUGUAAGCGGCCCGUCUUGAAACACGGACCAAGGAGUCUAACAUCUAUGCGAGUGUUUGGGUGUCAAGCCCGAGCGCGUAAUGAAAGUGAACGGAGGUGGGAACCCUUUGGGUGCACCAUCGACCGAUCCUGAUGUCUUCGGAUGGAUUUGAGUAAGAGCAUAGCUGUUGGGACCCGAAAGAUGGUGAACUAUGCUUGAAUAGGGUGAAGCCAGAGGAAACUCUGGUGGAGGCUCGCAGCGGUUCUGACGUGCAAAUCGAUCGUCAAAUUUGGGCAUAG
RNAcentral lists this ribosomal RNA (869 nucleotides) under Stagonospora pseudopaludosa. Its description in RNAcentral is "eukaryotic LSU rRNA". It matches the Rfam family "Eukaryotic large subunit ribosomal RNA", at positions 34 to 920 of the family's 3401-position model. The record is from RNAcentral. Lineage: Eukaryota; Fungi; Ascomycota; Dothideomycetes; Pleosporales; Massarinaceae.